Non-coding RNA from Cinara cedri, 1334 nucleotides. NCBI's taxonomy places the organism in Eukaryota, Metazoa, Arthropoda, Insecta, Hemiptera, Aphididae. The record is from the annotation of a GenBank genome assembly.
UCCGUUGAGAACUAGUUGUCCCGUUAUCGCGGUUACGAGACCGCUUUGUGCGCAACCUUUAUUGUCGGGUUAUAGGCACGUCCUCAUAUACACACGCGACUGUAUUUGUUUUUAUUUUUUCCAUCCAGAUUCGACCGUACCGGUUGCAGUUAAAGGAAGAUGCUGUUAACGGUAAGGCAAAUGUACAACAAUUGUCGUGCGGAGAGAGACAGCCGCGGUUAAGGGCGGUGGACGAGACUAUACGUACCCGCCUGUAAAAUAAUACAAAAUACGGUAACCGCGUACGACACGCGAACCGUCGCGACAACCGGUUACCUUAUUAUUGGUUUUUUUUUCUCUUAUAAUUAUUGUCGACUUGUUUACGGUAUACCCGUUUUUUUUUUUUUUUUAAUUGAGUGUUAUUAUUAUUGCUUUUUAACCGCCAACGAAGCGGUCUAUUUAGACGAUACGCAUUUACCGCCAAGUUGUUAUUAUUAUUAUUAUCAGCUAUUCGACCAAAGUAUCACUACCGAUCGUAUGACGGUCCUUGGCACCUGCCGAUUGUCGACGACGGCCGAAUACACCCCUACCCCCCCUCACGAGAGACGAACGGUUUUCGAACGAGAAAUUGUACCCGGAGCCCGAUUUGAAAAUUGUUAAGGCUUAUCUUAAAUCCAUCCAGUGUCGACGGGCGGGCCACUGAUCCGCAUGAGCCCUGGACACAUACCCGUCAUCACGACCCCGCGUAAAUGGGACGCUGAAUACGGGGAGCGAUGAGGUGUUAAUUUCGUUUACAGCGCACUCUACGGCGGCGGACGACUUUUUACAAUAUUCGCGUAACUACGUAUUUGUGUAAGAAGGUAAAAGACGACUGCCGGCGCCGCGUUCGGGAAAAAGUACCAUCGUGCGAACGCUGCGGCGGCCGGCGUGGGUGAAAAAAAUAAAAUUACACCCGCGGACGUUAAGUCUCAAUACAGUGUCGUACUUUUGUUUCGAUAGGAUUUUCGGCGGAGACUACUCGUUAAAAAAUUGCUUGGACAAACCGGUGUCGGUAAAGGUGCACUGUACGCGUCCUUAUCCGGAUUCGGUCGGCGCGCAACGGACGGUUUCAACCGAUAUUUUACCAUUUUUUUUUUUUACGACAUUGAAUUUCAUUCCGUAUAAAACGUUUAGAUUUCGUGGGCGUCCGCACAUAUACCUGUAUAUUACCUAUUUCCGUCAAGUGUUUACUUAUUUUAAUUAAAAUUGCUGAAUACAAACGGCGGCGGCGACGGCGAUACGCGUUUGCAUUAUACAAAAUUGGCGUUGAACAAUAUUAUUCAUUACGCGAAUCCGUUCUGUAGCGCGUGUAUACU